This 100-nucleotide ribosomal RNA is filed under the name Acanthosepion pharaonis. Lineage: Eukaryota; Metazoa; Mollusca; Cephalopoda; Sepiida; Sepiidae. The record is from RNAcentral.
AUUGAAAUACCGGUUCCCAUACAAUCACCAGAAGUUAAGCAAUAUUGAGCCUGGUCAGUACCUAGAUGGGAAAUUGCUUGGGAAUACCAGGUGUUGUAAG